UGGAGAUAGACUUUGAUGAGGAACUUCGAGGAAUGAGAGUGAUGGUCACUGACGAGGCUUUUGCGUUUUCUAAGAGAGCGAAGAGCUGUUGAAGACUAUGGCCUCCGCAACCGAGGAAGUGUCUGCGAAUUGAUGGAACUGACCAUGCCCAUUGGAACCAAAACCAUCACUCAAGCAGCCAACACCCCCAAUUGCAUUGAUCCGAUCAUAUCCACUCCUUCCGCUUUAGAUGGCUGCUCAUGGUUCAAGUUGGGAGGGCAAGGCUUGUUAGCCUCAAGCAUCGGCUUU
This 288-nucleotide long non-coding RNA is filed under the name Prunus persica (peach). RNAcentral's name for it is "long non-coding RNA (PPER_LNC001216)". Lineage: Eukaryota; Viridiplantae; Streptophyta; Magnoliopsida; Rosales; Rosaceae. The record is from RNAcentral.